Molecule: ribosomal RNA, 250 nt
Filed under: uncultured bacterium
Lineage: Bacteria
Description: partial 16S ribosomal RNA
Rfam family: Bacterial small subunit ribosomal RNA
Source: RNAcentral
UGGGGAAUAUUGCACAAUGGGCGCAAGCCUGAUGCAGCGACGCCGCGUGGGGGAUGACGGCCUUCGGGUUGUAAACCUCUUUCAGUAGGGACGAAGCGCAAGUGACGGUACCUACAGAAGAAGCACCGGCCAACUACGUGCCAGCAGCCGCGGUAAUACGUAGGGUGCGAGCGUCGUCCGGAAUUACUGGGCGUAAAGAGCUCGUAGGUGGUUUGUCGCGUUGUCCGUGAAAUCUCACAACUCAAUUGUG